CAAGUUUUGUAAAGGGCCUUUGGCAGCAAGAGUGUAAACAGAUAAAAACUGAACAAAAUAAAAAGAAUACUGCAACAAAAGGUGAAUAAAAGAAAAAGUACAGUUGAUUUCCUACACUGAAAGAAGAUCGUCCUUACAUUGCUAGUCAGAAUGAAUACUCUUCCGAUGAUCUUUGUUUUAAUGGUCACGUAUCUACCCUUAAUAGCAUGCCUCAAGGAUAAAACCAAGACAGAGUUAUGUGUUCUGGACAUUUUAGAUGAUUUUAACAAAAUGAAAAAGAGCAUAGCAAAACCUAAAGCUAAGACGAAGAAGACCCCAGCGUUUUUUGCAGUGUCUCGAAAGGUGAAUGCAGCUAAAGGAGGACAAACCGUCAGAUUUGAUCAAGUCAAACUGAAUACAGGAGGAAAAGCUAUCCCAUUUAAUCCUAAAACAGGCAUUUUUACAGCGACGAGAAAAGGUCUUUACUAUUUUUCCGCCAUGAUAUUGGGGAAUAGGAGAAAUGCAGUACAUUAUCAACUGAACAAGAAUAAGGAAAUAUAUCUUCUAGGUUACUCACACAGAGGAAGAGGUGCAGACUCCAGCACAAUUUCUGCCAUCAUGGAGUUAAAAGUCGGAGAUAAAGUAUACGUCAGGCAUAGAGGUACCAGGAGGGAAUAUUUUCAUGCGAAUGGCCACUCGACCUUUACUGGACAUUUGAUAGGAGAUUAAACCAAUAAAAACAUGGUUUUAUAAAUAAAUAAGCCAAUAGAAACAUGGUUUUAUAGAUGAAUAAGUCACUAGAAACAUGGUUUUAUACACGAAUAAACAAAAUCAAAACAUGAUUUGAUACAUGAAUUAACCAAUAAAAACAUCUGGAUUUUUUGU
Molecule: long non-coding RNA, 864 nt
Organism: Mytilus californianus (California mussel)
Lineage: Eukaryota; Metazoa; Mollusca; Bivalvia; Mytilida; Mytilidae
Exons: 3
Source: RefSeq, a predicted model, not a curated record